Molecule: small nuclear RNA, 134 nt
Filed under: Alligator mississippiensis (American alligator)
Lineage: Eukaryota; Metazoa; Chordata; Crocodylia; Alligatoridae
Description: U2 spliceosomal RNA
Rfam family: U2 spliceosomal RNA
About the family: U2 is a small nuclear RNA (snRNA) component of the spliceosome (involved in pre-mRNA splicing). Complementary binding between U2 snRNA (in an area lying towards the 5' end but 3' to hairpin I) and the branchpoint sequence (BPS) of the intron results the bulging out of an unpaired adenosine, on the BPS, which initiates a nucleophilic attack at the intronic 5' splice site, thus starting the first of two transesterification reactions that mediate splicing.
Source: Rfam by way of RNAcentral
AUUUUUUAAGGCCCACAAAAAAAAAAAAAAGUCUCACCAGCAUUUUUAACACCAGGAGAGGGCGUUGGAGCUUGUUCCUGCCUCUCCAAGUGCCAGCCUGGUAUUGCAGUACCUCCAGGCCUGGUGCUCAUUUU